RNAcentral lists this long non-coding RNA (765 nucleotides) under Pan troglodytes (chimpanzee). RNAcentral's name for it is "lincRNA". Lineage: Eukaryota; Metazoa; Chordata; Mammalia; Primates; Hominidae. The record is from RNAcentral.
UCUGCCAAGGCGCCUAUGAGAGCCUCUUGGCUUUUACCUGGUCUGCGAGAAAUCAAACUUUGGACACAAGUCAUGAAGCCGACAAGCCCGGGAGACACAGUGUCAGAAUUACAAGGUGAGAUCAGCCGCCCGGCCAAGCUAUCUUCUCGCUAGCAGGAACACUAUAAGGCCUGUUAGAGAAGAAAGGGUAGAAUCCCGAGAAUGUUUUCCCCACAGUGCUGAUAAGGAGAGACCACUAUCCCAUCUACUGCUACAGCUCUGGAGACAUAGCUCUCCCAUCUGUCAUAUAGAACACAAGGACCAAUCUGCAGAGAAAGAGCAUCCAAACCUGAUCCAGUGGACACUGGGGAAAAACUCACCACAGCUGAGUGUGGAAAAACAAGGCCAACACACACAUCUCUGCACAGAUACAUCUCCCAUCAAGAAACUAAAGUGUUAAUUUACAGGGCACUGUUGCAGACCCACUUCAGCUGGAAGCUAGGAACAUGGACAAGGAGCCUCUCUACCACCGAGGGAGAGAGAGGAAUGUGCUCUUGUCCUGGCAUUGCAUCCACAGGAGGGGCAAGAAAUUCUUUGAAGGUUUUCAGAUCUCAUGACUACUUUAUUUUGGAGUUGCCAGACUCAGCAAAUAAAAAUACACGACACACAGUUAAGUUUAAUAUUCAGAAAGAAAACUGUGGUGGGAAAUCAGGGACCCCAAACAGAGGGACCAGCUGAAGCCAUGGCAGAAGAACAAGGAUUGUGAAGAUUUCAUGGACAUUUAUU